CCUACGGGAGGCAGCAGUGAGGGAUAUUGGUCAAUGGGGGAAACCCUGAACCAGCAACGCCGCGUGAGGGAUGACUGCCCUAUGGGUUGUAAACUUCUUUUAUAAAGGAAUAAAACGAGGCACGUGUGCCUUUUUGCAUGUACUUUAUGAAUAAGGAUCGGCUAACUCCGUGCCAGCAGCCGCGGUAAUACGGAGGAUCCGAGCGUUAUCCGGAUUUAUUGGGUUUAAAGGGAGCGUAGAUGGGUUGUUAAGUCAGUUGUGAAAGUUUGCGGCUCAACCGUAAAAUUGCAAUUGAUACUGGCAGUCUUGAGUACAGUUGAGGUAGGCGGAAUUCGUGGUGUAGCGGUGAAAUGCUUAGAUAUCACGAAGAACCCCGAUUGCGAAGGCAGCUUACUAAACUGUGACUGACAUUGAUGCUCGAAAGUGUGGGUAUCAAACAGGAUUAGAUACCCUGGUAGUC
RNAcentral lists this ribosomal RNA (460 nucleotides) under uncultured bacterium. RNAcentral describes it as "partial 16S ribosomal RNA". It matches the Rfam family "Bacterial small subunit ribosomal RNA", at positions 338 to 795 of the family's 1533-position model. The record is from RNAcentral.